Molecule: long non-coding RNA, 100 nt
Organism: Nanorana parkeri
Lineage: Eukaryota; Metazoa; Chordata; Amphibia; Anura; Dicroglossidae
Exons: 3
Source: RefSeq, a predicted model, not a curated record
GUCGGAAACGCUGUGCAGUGGGGGCUGAGCUCAGCUGUGGGGCACAGAGAGGUGCAGGUCACCCACCUGGAGUGGAACAAUGAGGGCAUUGAAGAGAUUG